Molecule: ribosomal RNA, 1068 nt
Filed under: uncultured bacterium
Lineage: Bacteria
Description: bacterial SSU rRNA
Rfam family: Bacterial small subunit ribosomal RNA
Source: RNAcentral
GACGAACGCUGGCGGCGUGCCUAAUACAUGCAAGUCGAACGAGCUCUCCCAAAUUGAUUUUAUGCUUGCAUAAAUGAUUUUUGGAUUCGGAGCGAGUGGCGAACUGGUGAGUAACACGUGGGUAACCUGCCCCGAAGCGGGGGAUAACAUUUGGAAACAAGUGCUAAUACCGCAUAAUUAGUUGGAACCGCAUGGUUCCAACUUGAAAGAUGGCUCUGCUAUCACUUUGGGAUGGACCCGCGCCGUAUUAGUUAGUUGGUGAGAUAAAAGCCCACCAAGACGACGAUACGUAGCCGACCUGAGAGGGUAAUCGGCCACAUUGGGACUGAGACACGGCCCAGACUCCUACGGGAGGCAGCAGUAGGGAAUCUUCCACAAUGGACGAAAGUCUGAUGGAGCAACGCCGCGUGAGUGAUGAAGGUUUUCGGAUCGUAAAACUCUGUUGUUAAAGAAGAACAAGUGUUAGAGUAACUGUUAACACUUUGACGGUAUUUAACCAGAAAGCCACGGCUAACUACGUGCCAGCAGCCGCGGUAAUACGUAGGUGGCAAGCGUUGUCCGGAUUUAUUGGGCGUAAAGCGAGCGCAGGCGGUUUUGUAAGUCUGCUGUGAAAGCCCUCAGCUCAACUGAGGAAGUGCAGUGGAAACUACAAAACUUGAGUACAGAAGAGGAAAGUGGAACUCCAUGUGUAGCGGUGAAAUGCGUAGAUAUAUGGAAGAACACCAGUGGCGAAGGCGGCUUUCUGGUCUGUUACUGACGCUGAGGCUCGAAAGCAUGGGUAGCGAACAGGAUUAGAUACCCUGGUAGUCCAUGCCGUAAACGAUGAAUACUAGGUGUUGGAGGGUUUCCGCCCUUCAGUGCCGCAGCUAACGCAUUAAGUAUUCCGCCUGGGGAGUACGACCGCAAGGUUGAAACUCAAAGGAAUUGACGGGGGCCCGCACAAGUGGUGGAGCAUGUGGUUUAAUUCGAUGCUACGCGAAGAACCUUACCAGCUCUUGACAUCUUCUGCCAACCCAAGAGAUUGGGCGUUCCCUUCGGGGACAAAAUGACAGGUGGUGCAUGGUUGUC